UACGGAGGGUGCAAGCGUUAUCCGGAAUCACUGGGUUUAAAGGGUGCGUAGGCGGCCUGAUAAGUCAGAGGUGAAAGGCUACAGCUUAACUGUGGAAUUGCCUUUGAUACUGUGAGGCUUGAAUAAGGAUGAGGUUGGCGGAAUGUGGCAUGUAGCGGUGAAAUGCAUAGAUAUGCCAUAGAACACCAAUUGCGAAGGCAGCUAACUGGGCCUUUAUUGACGCUGAGGCACGAAAGCGUGGGGAUCAAACAGG
This 253-nucleotide ribosomal RNA is filed under the name uncultured bacterium. Its description in RNAcentral is "partial 16S ribosomal RNA". It matches the Rfam family "Bacterial small subunit ribosomal RNA", at positions 524 to 776 of the family's 1533-position model. The record is from RNAcentral.